ACAAAAUUCCAAGCGACAUACGCACAUGCAUACAUACAAGCCCACUUGUAAACAGAGAAGCGCCUGAUUUCAAAGUGUCAGCACAAUUGGAAAGUCGUAAACAAAAACGCAACAUGAGAUUCAAGACACUUUCUUUUGGGAGGCUGAACAGAACUAUACGAAGAAAUAGUUCCAUACAUAAGAACCACCAUUUUUAUUGCACCGCUAGAGCUAAGAGGAAGAAAAGCUGGAAACUGAACAUUUCCUUGCAAAUUAAUCGAUGUCCCAAGCUUUAAGAGAUCGAUAUCAUCUUCAAUCGGAAUAAAUCUACGGAUCAGUCAGUUGAAUUAAAAAAUUUAUUCAAUAUUCCCCGCAAUUCAAAUUGAAACACACAAACAAAUGAAUGUACCUAAAUCCUUUUUUACCUAGCGAGCAAGCGAUCAUAACUAGGGAAACAUAUGUACGGUUUUUCCCCUAUAAUUGAUGGCAAUCUGGUCCCAAUAAAUCCUUUUCACCCAUUUCGCGCCUGCUAAUUGCCAAACAAAAUGCAAUGAUUCAACCCAAAACUACGCUUUCUUUUCCUAGCACAAAAGCAACUUUUUACCCCUUUAACGGCCACAAUUUCCCUU
This is a long non-coding RNA of Drosophila yakuba, 608 nucleotides long. RefSeq lists it as uncharacterized. The transcript is spliced from 2 exons. The record is from RefSeq and is a predicted model, not a curated record. NCBI's taxonomy places the organism in Eukaryota, Metazoa, Arthropoda, Insecta, Diptera, Drosophilidae.